Jaculus jaculus (lesser Egyptian jerboa) is the source of this 131-nucleotide small nucleolar RNA. Lineage: Eukaryota; Metazoa; Chordata; Mammalia; Rodentia; Dipodidae. The record is from Ensembl.
GAGCUGGCCGGUUAAUCUGGUUAUCUGAAAGUGUUUCCUCAGACAUUUAGAAACAGCUGGCAAUAGUGAUGCCGUUACAUGAGGCUUAAGGACAACUGAGGUCAUUACAAUCUUUUUAAAUGGCUACAAUA